Long non-coding RNA from Sarcophilus harrisii (Tasmanian devil), 1043 nucleotides. RefSeq lists it as uncharacterized. Lineage: Eukaryota; Metazoa; Chordata; Mammalia; Dasyuromorphia; Dasyuridae. The record is from RefSeq and is a predicted model, not a curated record. The transcript has 5 exons.
UCUGAGAUUGGAUUUACUGCAGGCCCAGUGCUCUGUCCCUUGCAGCACCAAGCUGCCAAAGAGUAGAUGGAAAGAGCUUUUAGACAGAAGAAGCCCUUAACAGAGCCAAUAACUGAACAACAGAAAGUUCAUAAAUCAUGGGUUGAGAGAUCGAAGUGACUUUGAGGCCAUUGAAUCCUGUCCUAUUAGUUUUACAGAGGCUAAUUCCAGUGCUCAAGGAAGAGAGACAGGAAGAAGCAGCAUGAGCAGUGCAUGUGACCAGAUGCGCCAGAACAGCCUGGGCAAUGAGAGACAGAAGCCAACACUGCAUGGAAUCAGCUCAGCACCACCAGCUGCUAGUAAGUCAGCAGCUGCCUGGGAAACAGAAGGAGUUAACAGCUAUAUUUUUAACUCAGCACCCAUGGGAGUAAAUGACAGUGUCUAACGUAUGCAUUAAUACACGGUGAAGUAUUUUGGAAAGGAAAAAAAAACCUGGUUCUUCCUCUUCAACUUUAUAAAGCAUGGAAAAGGGCAGUUACUUCAACAAGAGUCCGUCAUCCUGGGUUCCAGCCAGCCGAGCCUUUUGGAGGAAGCCCUAGUUACUGAGCACACACCAGAAGUUCUGUAUCUGAUCAAUAAGGUACCAUUUAUUAUGACUGUUCUCCUUAGCCCCCUCCUCCCAAGCCAAAGGUUACAUACUAUAUGCAUGUGGAUCACCUGCUAUUCUAUAUAUUUGACUUACUCAUGCUAUUACUCCCUUCACCUGAACAGACCCAUUUCCUUUUCUCCAUUAUUCUAUGUCGCUUUGUAUUAAAACUUGGCUCAGAAUUCAUCUUUGGGAAAUUGUCCAUAGUUAAUUCACCUGACCAUUCACUCAUCUAACUCCAUAUCCUCUUGACAUUUAUGCACUUAGUUUGUGCUACAUUUAUUUGUUCUUGCUUUGUGAACAUUAAAUUGCACUUGCUGAUGUAUAAUUCUAUUGGAAAAUGCUCUUCAGUUUUUCACUCUGUGUGUAUUAUUUCCCCUAAUGGAUUGCAUACUUCUUGAGUGCAGGAAGUCCAUCU